Molecule: non-coding RNA, 128 nt
Organism: Amborella trichopoda
Lineage: Eukaryota; Viridiplantae; Streptophyta; Magnoliopsida; Amborellales; Amborellaceae
Source: Rfam
AAAAAGGGUCGGUUGGCUAAAUAUGCCACUCCUGCCCUUCGAAGUUGGGUGCUGUAUGGCUAUCAAGACAUAUGGCCGACACAAUUUCUGGGCUGAUGAAGCUGCCUAUCCCAUUUUGUAAUCUAUUA